CGGCAGGGGUGCCAGACAAUAUAAAGGCUGAGAUUGCGCGGCGGCAUGCCGUCUGCGCGGAACCCUUCAAACCUGAUGCGGAUAAUUCCGCCGCAGGGAGUUCGA
This 105-nucleotide non-coding RNA is filed under the name Akkermansia muciniphila. Its description in RNAcentral is "TPP riboswitch (THI element)". It matches the Rfam family "TPP riboswitch aptamer (THI element)", at positions 10 to 89 of the family's 105-position model. From Rfam's summary of the family: Vitamin B(1) in its active form thiamin pyrophosphate (TPP) is an essential coenzyme that is synthesised by coupling of pyrimidine and thiazole moieties in bacteria. The previously detected thiamin-regulatory element, thi box was extended, resulting in a new, highly conserved RNA secondary structure, the THI element, which is widely distributed in eubacteria and also occurs in some archaea. Lineage: Bacteria; Pseudomonadati; Verrucomicrobiota; Verrucomicrobiia; Verrucomicrobiales; Akkermansiaceae. The record is from RNAcentral.